UACGGAGGAUGCGAACGUUAUCCGGAUUUAUUGGGUUUAAAGGGUGCGUAGGCGGGAUGCCAAGUCAGCGGUAAAAAUGCGGUGCUCAACGCCGUCGAGCCGUUGAAACUGGCGUUCUUGAGUGGGCGAGAAGUAUGCGGAAUGCGUGGUGUAGCGGUGAAAUGCAUAGAUAUCACGCAGAACUCCGAUUGCGAAGGCAGCAUACCGGCGCCCUACUGACGCUGAGGCACGAAAGCGUGGGUAUCGAACAGG
Molecule: ribosomal RNA, 252 nt
Filed under: uncultured bacterium
Lineage: Bacteria
Description: partial 16S ribosomal RNA
Rfam family: Bacterial small subunit ribosomal RNA
Source: RNAcentral